Molecule: ribosomal RNA, 282 nt
Filed under: uncultured prokaryote
Description: partial 16S ribosomal RNA
Rfam family: Bacterial small subunit ribosomal RNA
Source: RNAcentral
UACGGAGGGGCUAGCGUUGUUCGGAAUUACUGGGCGUAAAGCGCACGUAGGCGGACCGGAAAGUUGGGGUGAAAUCCCGAGGCUCAACCUCGGAACUGCCUUCAAAACUGUCGGUCUGGAGUUCGAGAGAGGUGAGUGGAAUUCCGAGUGUAGAGGUGAAAUUCGUAGAUAUUCGGAGGAACACCAGUGGCUAAGGCGGCUCACUGGCUCGAUACUGACGCUGAGGUGCGAAAGCGUGGGGAGCAAACAGGAUUAGAUACCCCGGUAGUCCCUGAGCGGGCU